RNAcentral lists this ribosomal RNA (611 nucleotides) under Mucor racemosus. RNAcentral describes it as "eukaryotic LSU rRNA". The stretch from base 214 to 366 matches the Rfam family "5.8S ribosomal RNA". The record is from RNAcentral. Lineage: Eukaryota; Fungi; Mucoromycota; Mucoromycetes; Mucorales; Mucoraceae.
AGGCAUCGCGGCAGGAUCAGUAGGUGGUCCUGCUGAGCUAUUUACUGUGAACUGAAUUAUUAUUUGACGUUUGAGGGAUGUUCCAAUGUUAUAAGGAUAGACAUUGGAGAUGUUAACCGAGUCAUAAUCAGGUUUAGGCCUGGUAUCCUAUUAUUAUUUACCAAAUGAAUUCAGAAUUAAUAUUGUAACAUAGACCUAAAAAAUCUAUAAAACAACUUUUAACAACGGAUCUCUUGGUUCUCGCAUCGAUGAAGAACGUAGCAAAGUGCGAUAACUAGUGUGAAUUGCAUAUUCAGUGAAUCAUCGAGUCUUUGAACGCAACUUGCGCUCAUUGGUAUUCCAAUGAGCACGCCUGUUUCAGUAUCAAAACAAACCCUCUAUCCAACUUUUGUUGUAUAGGAUUAUUGGGGGCCUCUCGAUCUGUAUAGAUCUUGAAACCCUUGAAAUUUACUAAGGCCUGAACUUGUUUAAUGCCUGAACUUUUUUUUAAUAUAAAGGAAAGCUCUUGUAAUUGACUUUGAUGGGGCCUCCCAAAUAAAUCUUUUUUAAAUUUGAUCUGAAAUCAGGUGGGAUUACCCGCUGAACUUAAGCAUAUCAUAAACGCGAGGGAA